Molecule: ribosomal RNA, 253 nt
Filed under: uncultured bacterium
Lineage: Bacteria
Description: partial 16S ribosomal RNA
Rfam family: Bacterial small subunit ribosomal RNA
Source: RNAcentral
UACGGAGGGUGCGAGCGUUGUCCGGAAUCAUUGGGCGUAAAGGGCGCGUAGGUGGCGGGACAAGCGUGCGGUGAAAGCCUGGGGCUCAACCCCGGGUCGGCCGUGCGAACUGUUUUGCUUGAGCACUGUAGAGGCAGGCGGAACUCCGAGUGUAGAGGUGAAAUUCGUAGAUAUUCGGAAGAACACCAGUGGCGAAGGCGGCUCACUGGUCCGGUACUGACGCUGAGGUGCGAAAGCGUGGGGAGCAAACAGG